Molecule: transfer RNA, 62 nt
Filed under: Batracomorphus notatus
Lineage: Eukaryota; Metazoa; Arthropoda; Insecta; Hemiptera; Cicadellidae
Description: tRNA-Thr
Source: RNAcentral
GUUUUUAUAGUUUAAAAAAAACAUUAAUUUUGUAAAUUAAAUUUAGAAAAAUCUUAAAGACA